CGGCACUGUUCCAAUUCUAAUCAAGGACUUUUCUUUUCUUUUUCUUAUUUUCUACUUUUUAUCUCUUAAUCAUAUUGAAGACUUCAACUCCAUAGACGGAGCUUUCAGCUUUCUGCUGUCAUAUAAAAUAAUACAUCACCAUCCCAUGUGUACCAAUUGCAGCCGAGUUCAAAACGAUAGGAGAAAUUAUUUUAUGUGAAGUUUCAUCCCUUUUGUCCUUCUUGCCAUUUUUCGCGAAUGUCAAAUUAGAUUUCCUUCUUCUGUUAUAUGUAAACUACUUUCAAAUUG
Molecule: unclassified non-coding RNA, 288 nt
Filed under: Hevea brasiliensis (rubber tree)
Lineage: Eukaryota; Viridiplantae; Streptophyta; Magnoliopsida; Malpighiales; Euphorbiaceae
Source: RNAcentral